CAGAGUGAACGCUGGCGGCAGGCCUAAUACAUGCAAGUCGAACGGCAGCACAGCAGAGCUUGCUCUGUGGGUGGCGAGUGGCGGACGGGUGAGGAAUACGUGGGAAUCUGCCCAGUCGUGGGGGAUAACGUAGGGAAACUUACGCUAAUACCGCAUGCGCCCUUCGGGGGAAAGCCGGGGACCUUCGGGCCUGGCGCGAUUGGAUGAGCCCACGUCGGAUUAGCUAGUUGGCGGGUAAAGGCCCACCAAGGCGACGAUCCGUAGCUGGUCUGAGAGGAUGAUCAGCCACACUGGAACUGAGACACGGUCCAGACUCCUACGGGAGGCAGCAGUAGGGAGUAUUGGACAAUGGGCGCAAGCCUGAUCCAGCCAUGCCGCGUGAGUGAAGAAGGCCCUCGGGUUGUAAAGCUCUUUUGUCCGGAAAGAAAAGCGCCGGGUUAAUACCCUGGUGUCCUGACGGUACCGGAAGAAUAAGCACCGGCUAACUUCGUG
RNAcentral lists this ribosomal RNA (492 nucleotides) under uncultured bacterium. RNAcentral's name for it is "bacterial SSU rRNA". It matches the Rfam family "Bacterial small subunit ribosomal RNA", at positions 25 to 507 of the family's 1533-position model. The record is from RNAcentral.